This is a non-coding RNA of Charadrius vociferus (killdeer), 46 nucleotides long. The record is from Rfam. NCBI's taxonomy places the organism in Eukaryota, Metazoa, Chordata, Aves, Charadriiformes, Charadriidae.
CCAAAGGCUCUUUUCAGAGCCACCCACGUUGUCGAGAAAGAGCUUG